RNAcentral lists this unclassified non-coding RNA (209 nucleotides) under Hevea brasiliensis (rubber tree). The record is from RNAcentral. Lineage: Eukaryota; Viridiplantae; Streptophyta; Magnoliopsida; Malpighiales; Euphorbiaceae.
CAGUAAUGGAAGUACCCAGAGCAGCAGCAUAUUUUCAAGUUCAACUGGGAUCUGUAGCAGCAGCAUAUUUCCAAGUUCAACUGGAAUCUGUAGCGGCAGCAGCAUUUUUGCAAGUUCAACUGGAAUAUAUAGCAACAGCAGUAGCUUGAGCAGUAACAGAAGUACCAGCGGCAGCAGCAUUUUUACAAGCUUGACUGGAAUCUGUAGCA